UUUUACUAUCAUUUAUGGUAUCAUAUUUGCCUUUUAUUUAACAACUUUCCAUCGAUCCUCAUGGCCGCUGAUACACCCUCUGAAACCAAAGAAAUUUUUUAAUUAAACACCAGUACCCAACUCCCUAUCAAAUUAAACUCCACAAACAGUUUCACUCUCUUCUUAUUGCUCGCGAUCUUGAAGGGUACGUGACUGGAACAACACCAGAGAGAGAAAUAAACCAGAUAUAGCUUGAGAGAGAGAGAGGAAUGAGUUUUAAUUUUUUAUUUUAAUGAAUUUUUAUGUGUUUUGGAUAAUGGGUAAUGGAUUUUUAGGCUUGAGUCUCCGAAUGGAAAAAAAGAUGAUGCGAUGUAAAAAGAUGAAGAAGAGUAGGAAUUGAAGAUCUGGUUUUUGAAUUUAUUGAAAGAUUUAAAGUUGAUAGCUGAGAAGGAACACGAUCAACGCAAAUACUUUAUGGAACAAACAUUCGAUGAACAGUAACCUGGUUUUGGUGUUGUUGUUGUGCGUCAGUAUCGAUUUGAUUUAGCGU
RNAcentral lists this long non-coding RNA (529 nucleotides) under Medicago truncatula (barrel medic). RNAcentral describes it as "lncRNA gene24808". The record is from RNAcentral. Lineage: Eukaryota; Viridiplantae; Streptophyta; Magnoliopsida; Fabales; Fabaceae.